RNAcentral lists this ribosomal RNA (255 nucleotides) under uncultured bacterium. RNAcentral describes it as "partial 16S ribosomal RNA". It matches the Rfam family "Bacterial small subunit ribosomal RNA", at positions 524 to 776 of the family's 1533-position model. The record is from RNAcentral.
UACGAAGGGGGGCUAGCGUUGCUCGGAAUUACUGGGCGUAAAGCGCACGUAGGCGGUCUUUUUAAGUCGGGGGGUGAAAUCCUGGAGCUCAACUCCAGAACUGCCUCGAUACUGGAAGACUUGAGUCCGGGAGAGGUGAGUGGAACUGCGAGUGUAGAGGUGAAAUUCGUAGAUAUUCGCAAGAACACCAGUGGCGAAGGCGGCUCACUGGCCCGGUACUGACGCUCAGGUGCGAAAGCUAGGGGAGCGAACAGG